AGGAAAUGUGCCCGAAAGUUUAAGGAAUACUUUGAUAGAGUACACCACAGGAGUUAAAAUCUCCUCAUUUCCU
RNAcentral lists this transfer RNA (73 nucleotides) under Madascincus ankodabensis. RNAcentral's name for it is "tRNA-Ile". Lineage: Eukaryota; Metazoa; Chordata; Lepidosauria; Squamata; Scincidae. The record is from RNAcentral.